GGAAUAAGCAACCAGAAGGGUGAGGC
RNAcentral lists this non-coding RNA (26 nucleotides) under Rattus norvegicus (Norway rat). The record is from RNAcentral. Lineage: Eukaryota; Metazoa; Chordata; Mammalia; Rodentia; Muridae.